RNAcentral lists this long non-coding RNA (649 nucleotides) under Polistes fuscatus (common paper wasp). RNAcentral's name for it is "uncharacterized LOC122517829, transcript variant X2". The record is from RNAcentral. Lineage: Eukaryota; Metazoa; Arthropoda; Insecta; Hymenoptera; Vespidae.
UUAGUCCGGCUUUUAUGUACUCUCUGGAGAUGGCACGUAACCUAUGUAAAUGUUGCGCGUGCGUGUCUGAGUUUAUGGAAUGUAUGUUGAAUAUAUAUCUAUGUGUAUGUGUGUAUAUAUGUUUGUAUAUGAAAGAACGUGCAGUGUAUGCCCGCGCACGACGAACGUCGGUUCGAUACUGGAGGCCACUCGUUCGUCGAACGAUGUUAGCCUCCGUGAGUCCCACCGUUUGCGUUCUCCGUCACUAACACUACUUUAUCAUGAAACACAACUACUAAGAUGACGACCAAUCGCAUUCACGAAAAAUUGUAAUUUUAAUUGGGAUAUUAAUGAUUUGGUUGAUGAUUUGGAAUAAAUGAAAUAAUCAACUAGGAUUAUCAGGUGGAUAACUUAGGUACUAGGACCACUUGAUUCUUCAUCAACUGGUGUAUGAUCCAAUGGUACACCAAUAUAUUCGUAAUCACCAGAUCUGUAAGGUGCUAUCAAAUAUUCCGGUGGUCCACAGGGUACGGGAGAUGUUGUAUCACUUCCAAUUGGACUCUAGAAUUCUACAAACAAACAGAAAGCACGUUGCUUGUAAAUUGAUACCAGUGGACUCUAGGUAAAGUAUAUAAAAUAAUAUUUUAUUUAUUAAUUAAAAUGUUUAUUC